CUGUACUGGCUAUAAGGAAUGCUGGGCAGGCCUCGCUGCCACACCACCUCCUGAGAGAAGAGACAGGGUCUUACUAUGUUGUCCAGGCUGGUUUCAAACUCCUGGAAUCAAGCGAUCUUCCUGCCUUGGCCUCCAGAAAUGCUGGGACUGCGCCUGGAAUAGAUACGGGUAAAGAACCUUUUACAUCAGACUCUUGUGUCCUACUCCCAGAAUGCUGAUUCAGUAGCCUGCAAGUGAGGCCUAGAAAUCUGCAUUUUCACAAGCUCUCAGGUUUAAUACACAAUACAUUUAAAGAAAGCACAGCCCAAAGGGUGUCAGUGGGGUGUAUGAAGGAAGCCUGGUUAGUGGGGAGAGUGGGAUUAGGGAACAGCUGCUUAACCUGGCUUGUUUCAAGUCCCCCUUUCUCCCUUUUUGCCCUCAAAAAGUUCCCCUCAUUUUUUCCCCUCUACUUUCUAAUUUCUCACCAUGCACUCACACAGCUAUACAGCUGUCUCCAGAGAUUACUCUGGAAACUCUGCU
Homo sapiens (human) is the source of this 519-nucleotide long non-coding RNA. The record is from Ensembl. NCBI's taxonomy places the organism in Eukaryota, Metazoa, Chordata, Mammalia, Primates, Hominidae.